GCGACACUAGCUCAGCUAGUUUAGCGAAUCCUUACCAAGGUUGAGGUCACGCCUAAGCCUUGAAGAUCGGGAACCUCGUGUGUCGCUCCA
This 90-nucleotide transfer RNA is filed under the name Vibrio sp. D404a. Its description in RNAcentral is "tRNA-Gly". RNAcentral also lists the same sequence under 1 other name. Lineage: Bacteria; Pseudomonadati; Pseudomonadota; Gammaproteobacteria; Vibrionales; Vibrionaceae. The record is from RNAcentral.